CCGCGCUCCCGCCGCCUGCGCGCCCGCCGGCCGGCCGACGCGGACGGUGGCUGUCGCCGCUCGGCCCGGGGUGGAAGUGCGCGGCGGAGACCCGUUAGGAGAAGAGGCCGGGCAGCCGCUGGACGGGAGGCGUGAGUAAGCGGCGAUCCGGCAAAAAAAAAAAAAAAGGCCUGUGGAAGUGGCAAAGUUGAACUUUUUUUUUUUUUUUUCUCUUUUCGCCCCCUGGCCGACGCGUUUCGAAGUUUGCCAUCCGGAAGUUACGGGGUUCUUUUUUCUCAGGCCCCUGUCCCGGGAGGGAAAGGAAAAACAGCGAUGUUGGGGAGCAGGCGGGUGUGUGGCCAGUGGCUCGCAGCCGCGCUUUGAGCCUGGGAGCGCCGUGGGGGUCACGUGGGCCGGGCGCGCUUUCCCUCCGGUCCGGCGUCCGCGUCGUGCGUGGAAAAUCCCCACGCGUGGCAGUCGCAGCCAGGUGUGCGCCCCCGGGGGCGGCCGCAUCAAGCUAGUGGGUGUAGAGCUGCGGCGGGCCCGGAGAGUGUGAAAGGGAAAAAGCCGCACUGCUCGUGUCCACCGGCCGCCUGCGCUGGAGAUCCACCUGUUGGCCCUGUGUGUGUGGCAAGAGAAAGUGCCUGAAACCCCAUUUUCAAAAUGCGGAGGAAAGUGUCUCUGGGGCUCGUAUCCAGAAACUCCCACAGUUGCAGGAUACUGGGGAUCUGUCCUUCGCCGCACACAUUGGCCCUGACCGUGUCUGGUGCUGGUAGGAAAACAGGCGCACUGGGUGAAUUUUCACUGCCUCGUCUGGCACUCUGGGAGAAGAAGGAAACAGGUGCUUCCCUGCUGCAAGCCCAGCAGUCACUCAGACCCCAGUCAGCUCUCCAGGCUGAAGUGAAAUCAGUAGGUGACUGUGGAGUUCCUUCUCAGCUAAAACCAGGAGUGGUGGGGUGGGCGGCAGUUUCUUCCUACCUUGGCGUGGUAAGAUAG
Molecule: long non-coding RNA, 975 nt
Filed under: Oryctolagus cuniculus (rabbit)
Lineage: Eukaryota; Metazoa; Chordata; Mammalia; Lagomorpha; Leporidae
Description: lncRNA (ENSOCUG00000036099.1)
Source: RNAcentral